Long non-coding RNA from Drosophila innubila, 339 nucleotides. RefSeq lists it as uncharacterized. NCBI's taxonomy places the organism in Eukaryota, Metazoa, Arthropoda, Insecta, Diptera, Drosophilidae. The record is from RefSeq and is a predicted model, not a curated record. The transcript is spliced from 2 exons.
AAGAACCCUCUAAAAUUUUUAAUGUACUGAUACCAAGCUCAUUGCAAUGAUUCGAAUUGUUGGCUGUUUGACGCCCAUUGCGGUGAAUCGUUUGCGUAACUCGAGACCAGUGAAGAGGAAUUUAAAGCUAACCCAGAAAGUAUAUGCCACAUGGAAAUAUACUUUCAGGAACAUUGCUGUCAAGGACAAUCGUCAAAUAGACGAGUCAUGUAUCGUAGAUGUUAAUUAAACUGGUGGAAUCGUCAAUGUAUUGGGUAUAGAUAUGUAUAGGUGCGCCGCUUGCAGUGUAUUUUUGUGCUUUUGAUUACUUUUACAUUUCUUAAACUUAUUCUAAAUCAA